GGUUAAGCGACUAAGCGUACACGGUGGAUGCCCUGGCAGUCAGAGGCGAUGAAGGACGUGCUAAUCUGCGAAAAGCGUCGGUAAGGUGAUAUGAACCGUUAUAGCCGGCGAUGUCCGAAUGGGGAAACCCAGUGCAAUUCGUUGCACUAUCGUUAACUGAAUACAUAGGUUAACGAGGCGAACCGGGGGAACUGAAACAUCUAAGUACCCCGAGGAAAAGAAAUCAACCGAGAUUCCCCCAGUAGCGGCGAGCGAACGGGGAGCAGCCCAGAGUCUGAAUCAGCUUGUGUGUUAGUGGAACGGUCUGGAAAGUCCGACGGUACAGGGUGAUAGUCCCGUACACCAAAAUGCACAGGUUGUGAACUCGAAGAGUAGGGCGGGACACGUGGUAUCCUGUCUGAAUAUGGGGGGACCAUCCUCCAAGGCUAAAUACUCCUGACUGACCGAUAGUGAACCAGUACCGUGAGGGAAAGGCGAAAAGAACCCCGGCGAGGGGAGUGAAAAAGAACCUGAAACCGUGUACGUACAAGCAGUGGGAGCACCUUUAUGGUGUGACUGCGUACCUUUUGUAUAAUGGGUCAGCGACUUAUAUUCUGUAGCAAGGUUAACCGUAUAGGGGAGCCGCAGGGAAACCGAGUCUUAACUGGGCGUUAAGUUGCAGGGUAUAGACCCGAAACCCGGUGAUCUAGCCAUGGGCAGGUUGAAGGUUGGGUAACACUAACUGGAGGACCGAACCGACUAAUGUUGAAAAAUUAGCGGAUGACUUGUGGCUGGGGGUGAAAGGCCAAUCAAACCGGGAGAUAGCUGGUUCUCCCCGAAAGCUAUUUAGGUAGCGCCUCGUGAAUUCAUCUUCGGGGGUAGAGCACUGUUUCGGCUAGGGGGUCAUCCCGACUUACCAACCCGAUGCAAACUACGAAUACCGAAGAAUGUUAUCACGGGAGACACACGGCGGGUGCUAACGUCCGUCGUGAAGAGGGAAACAACCCAGACCGCCAGCUAAGGUCCCAAAGUCAUGGUUAAGUGGGAAACGAUGUGGGAAGGCACAGACAGCCAGGAUGUUGGCUUAGAAGCAGCCAUCAUUUAAAGAAAGCGUAAUAGCUCACUGGUCGAGUCGGCCUGCGCGGAAGAUGUAACGGGGCUAAACCAUGCACCGAAGCUGCGGCAGCGACACGAUGUGUUGUUGGGUAGGGGAGCGUUCUGUAAGCCUGCGAAGGUGGCCUGUGAGGGUUGCUGGAGGUAUCAGAAGUGCGAAUGCUGACAUAAGUAACGAUAAAGCGGGUGAAAAGCCCGCUCGCCGGAAGACCAAGGGUUCCUGUCCAACGUUAAUCGGGGCAGGGUGAGUCGACCCCUAAGGCGAGGCCGAAAGGCGUAGUCGAUGGGAAACAGGUUAAUAUUCCUGUACUUGGUGUUACUGCGAAGGGGGGACGGAGAAGGCUAUGUUAGCCGGGCGACGGUUGUCCCGGUUUAAGCAUGUAGGCUGGUUAUCCAGGCAAAUCCGGAUAAUCAAGGCUGAGGUGUGAUGACGAGGCACUACGGUGCUGAAGUAACAAAUGCCCUGCUUCCAGGAAAAGCCUCUAAGCAUCAGGUAACAUCAAAUCGUACCCCAAACCGACACAGGUGGUCAGGUAGAGAAUACCAAGGCGCUUGAGAGAACUCGGGUGAAGGAACUAGGCAAAAUGGUGCCGUAACUUCGGGAGAAGGCACGCUGGUGUGUAGGUGAAGUCCCUGCGGAUGGAGCUGAGACCAGUCGAAGAUACCAGCUGGCUGCAACUGUUUAUUAAAAACACAGCACUGUGCAAACACGAAAGUGGACGUAUACGGUGUGACGCCUGCCCGGUGCCGGAAGGUUAAUUGAUGGGGUUAUCCGUAAGGAGAAGCUCUUGAUCGAAGCCCCGGUAAACGGCGGCCGUAACUAUAACGGUCCUAAGGUAGCGAAAUUCCUUGUCGGGUAAGUUCCGACCUGCACGAAUGGCGUAAUGAUGGCCAGGCUGUCUCCACCCGAGACUCAGUGAAAUUGAACUCGCUGUGAAGAUGCAGUGUACCCGCGGCAAGACGGAAAGACCCCGUGAACCUUUACUAUAGCUUGACACUGAACAUUGAGCCUUGAUGUGUAGGAUAGGUGGGAGGCUUUGAAGCGUGGACGCCAGUCUGCGUGGAGCCAACCUUGAAAUACCACCCUUUAAUGUUUGAUGUUCUAACGUGGGCCCCUAAUCGGGGUUGCGGACAGUGUCUGGUGGGUAGUUUGACUGGGGCGGUCUCCUCCCAAAGCGUAACGGAGGAGCACGAAGGUUAGCUAAUCCUGGUCGGACAUCAGGAGGUUAGUGCAAUGGCAUAAGCUAGCUUGACUGCGAGCGUGACGGCGCGAGCAGGUGCGAAAGCAGGUCAUAGUGAUCCGGUGGUUCUGAAUGGAAGGGCCAUCGCUCAACGGAUAAAAGGUACUCCGGGGAUAACAGGCUGAUACCGCCCAAGAGUUCAUAUCGACGGCGGUGUUUGGCACCUCGAUGUCGGCUCAUCACAUCCUGGGGCUGAAGUAGGUCCCAAGGGUAUGGCUGUUCGCCAUUUAAAGUGGUACGCGAGCUGGGUUUAGAACGUCGUGAGACAGUUCGGUCCCUAUCUGCCGUGGGCGCUGGAGAAUUGAGGGGGGCUGCUCCUAGUACGAGAGGACCGGAGUGGACGCAUCACUGGUGUUCGGGUUGUCAUGCCAAUGGCACUGCCCGGUAGCUAAAUGCGGAAGAGAUAAGUGCUGAAAGCAUCUAAGCACGAAACUUGCCCCGAGAUGAGUUCUCCCUGAGACUAUAAGUCUCCUGAAGGAACGUUGAAGACGACGACGUUGAUAGGCCGGGUGUGUAAGCGCAGCGAUGCGUUGAGCUAACCGGUACUAAUGAACCGUGAGGCUUAACCUU
RNAcentral lists this ribosomal RNA (2903 nucleotides) under Klebsiella quasipneumoniae. RNAcentral's name for it is "23S ribosomal RNA". It matches the Rfam family "Bacterial large subunit ribosomal RNA". The record is from RNAcentral. Lineage: Bacteria; Pseudomonadati; Pseudomonadota; Gammaproteobacteria; Enterobacterales; Enterobacteriaceae.